GAUGAAUCGGAGACUCUGAGCC
Molecule: microRNA, 22 nt
Filed under: Oreochromis niloticus (Nile tilapia)
Lineage: Eukaryota; Metazoa; Chordata; Actinopteri; Cichliformes; Cichlidae
Description: oni-miR-10672
Source: miRBase by way of RNAcentral